RNAcentral lists this ribosomal RNA (465 nucleotides) under uncultured bacterium. RNAcentral's name for it is "bacterial SSU rRNA". It matches the Rfam family "Bacterial small subunit ribosomal RNA", at positions 338 to 795 of the family's 1533-position model. The record is from RNAcentral.
CCUACGGGUGGCUGCAGUGGGGAAUUUUGGACAAUGGGCGCAAGCCUGAUCCAGCAAUGCCGCGUGCAGGAUGAAGGCCUUCGGGUUGUAAACUGCUUUUGUACGGAACGAAACGGUCUCUCAUAAUACGGGGGGCUAAUGACGGUACCGUAAGAAUAAGCACCGGCUAACUACGUGCCAGCAGCCGCGGUAAUACGUAGGGUGCAAGCGUUAAUCGGAAUUACUGGGCGUAAAGCGUGCGCAGGCGGUUAUAUAAGACAGAUGUGAAAUCCCCGGGCUCAACCUGGGACCUGCAUUUGUGACUGUAUAGCUAGAGUACGGUAGAGGGGGAUGGAAUUCCGCGUGUAGCAGUGAAAUGCGUAGAUAUGCGGAGGAACACCGAUGGCGAAGGCAAUCCCCUGGACCUGUACUGACGCUCAUGCACGAAAGCGUGGGGAGCAAACAGGAUUAGAUACCCAAGUAGUC